This 293-nucleotide ribosomal RNA is filed under the name uncultured bacterium. Its description in RNAcentral is "partial 16S ribosomal RNA". It matches the Rfam family "Bacterial small subunit ribosomal RNA", at positions 505 to 796 of the family's 1533-position model. The record is from RNAcentral.
GUGUCAGCCGCCGCGGUAAUACGUAGGGAGCGAGCGUUGUCCGGAUUUAUUGGGCGUAAAGCGCGCGUAGGCGGUUUGGUAAGCCGGGUGUGAAACCCUCGAGCUCAACUCGGGGCGGCCACUCGGAACUGCCAUGACUUGAGUCUGGUAGGGGAACACGGAAUACCUGGUGUAGCGGUGAAAUGCUUAGAUAUCAGGUGGAACACCAGUGGCGAAGGCGGUGUUCUGGGCCAGUACUGACGCUGAGGCGCGAAAGCGUGGGGAGCGAACAGGAUUAGAUACCCUGGUAGUCC